GACGAACGCUGGCGGCGUGCUUAACACAUGCAAGUCGAACGGAAAGGCCCCUUUGGGGGUACUCGAGUGGCGAACGGGUGAGUAACACGUGAGUAACCUGCCCUUGACUUCGGGAUAACUUCAGGAAACUGGGGCUAAUACCGGAUAGGAAUCCUUGCUGCAUGGUGGGGGUUGGAAAGCUUCGGCGGUUUUGGAUGGACUCGCGGCUUAUCAGCUUGUUGGUGGGGUAGUGGCUUACCAAGGCUUUGACGGGUAGCCGGCCUGAGAGGGCGACCGGCCACAUUGGGACUGAGAUACGGCCCAGACUCCUACGGGAGGCAGCAGUGGGGAAUAUUGCAAAAUGGGCGGAAGCCUGAUGCAGCAACGCCGAGUGCGGGAUGACGGCCUUCGGGUUGUAAACCGCUUUCAGCAGGGGCGAAGCUUGUGGUGACGGUACCUGCAGAAGAAGCACCGGCUAACUACGUG
RNAcentral lists this ribosomal RNA (465 nucleotides) under uncultured bacterium. RNAcentral's name for it is "partial 16S ribosomal RNA". It matches the Rfam family "Bacterial small subunit ribosomal RNA", at positions 28 to 507 of the family's 1533-position model. The record is from RNAcentral.